GGACGUGGCUCAGGGGGUAGACUGCUUGCCUCGCAUGCACAAGGCCCUGGGUUCAAUCCCCAGCACCA
RNAcentral lists this transfer RNA (68 nucleotides) under Marmota monax (woodchuck). RNAcentral describes it as "tRNA.Ala". Lineage: Eukaryota; Metazoa; Chordata; Mammalia; Rodentia; Sciuridae. The record is from RNAcentral.